AUCCAGCUGACGAGUUCUAAAUAGGACGAAAUGCGCGUCCUGGAU
Schistosoma rodhaini is the source of this 45-nucleotide non-coding RNA. NCBI's taxonomy places the organism in Eukaryota, Metazoa, Platyhelminthes, Trematoda, Strigeidida, Schistosomatidae. The record is from Rfam.